UGUCAGAUAACUAUGGUGAGUUAUUUCCAAGCAUAUAUCUGACUGCUUCUUGUGGAAACCUGUCUUUUUCUGAGUCAACUGUGA
RNAcentral lists this small nucleolar RNA (84 nucleotides) under Mesitornis unicolor (brown roatelo). RNAcentral's name for it is "Small nucleolar RNA SNORD121A". It matches the Rfam family "Small nucleolar RNA SNORD121A". The record is from Rfam by way of RNAcentral. Lineage: Eukaryota; Metazoa; Chordata; Aves; Mesitornithiformes; Mesitornithidae.